CAAUAGCGUAUACUAAUGUUGUUGCAGUUAAAAAGCUCGUAGUUGAACUUCUGGUAGGAGUGACCGAACCGUUGGACGAAUGUCCUCUGUUUGUUUGUGUCAUCUCUGGCCAUCCUCGCUGGCUUUUAGUCAGCGUCUUUCACUGUAAAUAAAUUAGGGUGUUCCAAGCAGAUAAUUUUCGGAAUAUUUCAGUAUGGGAUGAUAAGAUAGGCUCUCGAUGCUAUUUUGUCGGUUUGCACAUCAAGAGAAUGAUUAACAGGGACAGUUGGGGGUAUUCGUAUUUAGAUGUCAGAGGUGAAAUUCUUAGAUUUUCGAAAGACGAACUACUGCGAAGGCAUUUACCAAGGAUGUUUUCAUUAAUCAAGAACGAAAGUUAGGGGAUCGAAGACGAUUAGAUACCGU
RNAcentral lists this ribosomal RNA (402 nucleotides) under uncultured eukaryote. RNAcentral's name for it is "SSU rRNA". It matches the Rfam family "Eukaryotic small subunit ribosomal RNA", at positions 592 to 1018 of the family's 1831-position model. The record is from RNAcentral.